GAUUGGCUGGAAUGAUGAAUCAAUUAGAUGUGUAAGUCGCCUUACGAGCUUAACUUUUGAGGCAUAUAUUUUGUCUGGCCUGCCAAUC
This is a non-coding RNA of Zea mays, 88 nucleotides long. NCBI's taxonomy places the organism in Eukaryota, Viridiplantae, Streptophyta, Magnoliopsida, Poales, Poaceae. The record is from Rfam.